This 475-nucleotide ribosomal RNA is filed under the name uncultured bacterium. RNAcentral describes it as "bacterial SSU rRNA". It matches the Rfam family "Bacterial small subunit ribosomal RNA", at positions 28 to 507 of the family's 1533-position model. The record is from RNAcentral.
GAUGAACGCUGGCGGCGUGCCUCAAACAUGCAAGUCGAGCGGGGCUAUGUAAUAUCGCAAGGUAGAACAUAGCCUAGCGGCGAACGGGUGAGUAACACGUGGGUAACCUGCCUGGAAGACAGGGAUAACGAUUCGAAAGGGUCGCUAAUACCUGAUAAUAUCCUUUCAUCGCAUGGUGAUAGGAAGAAAGGGGAAACCCGCUUUCAGAUGGGCCCGCGUCCCAUCAGCUAGUUGGUAAGGUAAAGGCUUACCAAGGCGACGACGGGUAGCCGGUCUGAGAGGAUGUACGGCCACACUGGGACUGAGAUACGGCCCAGACUCCUACGGGAGGCAGCAGUUGGGAAUCUUAGGCAAUGGACGAAAGUCUGACCUAGCGACGCCGCGUGAGGGAAGAAGGCCUUCGGGUUGUAAACCUCUGUCAUGGGGAAGGAAGUAAGUAGACGGUACCCAAGAGGAAGCCCCUGCUAACUACGUG